This 274-nucleotide ribosomal RNA is filed under the name uncultured bacterium. Its description in RNAcentral is "partial 16S ribosomal RNA". It matches the Rfam family "Bacterial small subunit ribosomal RNA", at positions 523 to 796 of the family's 1533-position model. The record is from RNAcentral.
AUACAGGGGGUGCGAGCGUUAAUCGGAAUUACUGGGCGUAAAGAGUACGUAGGCGGUUGCUUAAGUCAGAUGUGAAAGCCCCGGGCUCAACCUGGGAACUGCAUUUGAAACUGAGUGACUAGAGUUUAAGAGAGGGGAGUAGAGUUCCGGGUGUAGCGGUGAAAUGCGUAGAGAUCCGGAGGAAUACCAGUGGCGAAGGCGGCUCCCUGGCUUAAAACUGACGCUGAGGUACGAAAGCGUGGGUAGCAAACAGGAUUAGAUACCCCGGUAGUCC